This is a long non-coding RNA of Numida meleagris (helmeted guineafowl), 4398 nucleotides long. RefSeq lists it as uncharacterized. The transcript has 4 exons. NCBI's taxonomy places the organism in Eukaryota, Metazoa, Chordata, Aves, Galliformes, Numididae. The record is from RefSeq and is a predicted model, not a curated record.
GGGAGAGAGAGGGAGAGAGAAGGGGAGGAGAAAGAGAGAAGCAUGUUAAGCUUGUCUGGUAGUUAACAAGUCUUGAAUGAAGAAUGUUAGCAAACAGACAAACAGCAUGUCUGAUGCAUGCUAAUAGUCCUGGCUUCACCGCUGACACUAUGAAUAAUUCAGUAAGAGGAGGGUGAAAAAAAAAAAAGGCGCCCUCCACCCUCCCUUCACGCUUUCCAACGUCUGAAGAGAAGACAGGAAUAAAAAGUAUGCCACAACUUUCUCCUUCCGCCCUACAGCUCGGGAAUACCCGGCGAAGAGGCCAGUGAGGCAGCGCGCUCCCGCCAGGGCUCCUCCCGAGGCUCGCGGCUCCUAUUUUUGCCGGCUAUUAAUUCCCCCCCCCCCCCCUCCCCGCCUAUUCCACUCCUUUUGUCUGGCAGCUGGCACCUGUCCCAGAGGCAGCGUUUUGCUGCACAUCCCUCUCCCCUCCGCCGCGGGGAGCAGACGGCCCCCGCUCACCGCACGCCCCCGUGUCGGCCAUCGCAGGGGCUCGGGGGGUACCGGAGGCCCGCUUCGUGCGGUACGGACACGUACAGCCACGAAAACAGAGCUGUAAUACAGAGGCAGGCAGAGCAACCGGCCGUUCCGUGAGCUGGUGUACUGGUAGUGCGGGGGGGGACGUGACAAAUAAAAGCCCUCAUUUUCACAGCAUACAAACUAGCAAAGCCCGAUUCAUCGCUCGGCCAAAGAAAUCAAUUCCCUUAACCAAGAAAAAAGAGAGAGAGGAGAGGGAGAGAGAGAAAAGGAUCAGCGGAGGGGAAAAUACUCGAGUUUUAACCUCAAUACAACGAUAUACAGUACGGCCGAGCCAAGCACAGAAGAGACGGAAAAUUAAUCCGUUCUUCAACAGUGAAAGCAGGGUUAAAUAAAGCAGAGAAAGAGAGAGAGACCAAGAGGGGAAAAAGCAGCAGCGCCUAUGUACAGCGUUUUUAAAAGUUCUGCUCUGGCAAAGGCCGUCUGAAGGGGAGGCCCUUGCAGCAGGAAUGCGAGCGGCGGCAGCAGCCUCGUUCCAGAGCCCGGCCUCCCCCUCGCAGUGACUGGAGCGAGCUGGCUCGCCGAGAGGCGGAGGAGGCCGCGCUGGCGCGGCGCAGAGCCGGGGCUGGCGAUGGGAGGGCGGCACGACACGACACGACACAACACGGCACGGCACGGCACGGCACUACCGAGCGGCCGCGCACAGCGCACCACAGCGAGGGCCCGAGGCCGUGCGGGCCGCGGACGACAGAGCAGCUGUGAGGAAAGGCAGCGGGGCCGGCUAAUGGAGCUUUUAAUUGGGGGCGGGAGGGGGGAAUGGGAGGGAAAGGAAGGUCCUACGGAAAUAUCUUCCGGGAUUAGAACAAGGAGCGCUGGACUCCCGUCUAGAUGCGGCCCUGUAGGAAAGCGCUACGGGGAAGGUGUUUCAAAAAGCUGCUCGGAAGAUCUACGGGGCUGAAAACAGAGACUGGAAAAAAGUAGAUGGUGUGUGUGACAAAGAAAGCUGGAUGAUUCUGUUUUCUCAUGCCCUCACUCCUCCACCAGCUGCACAGCCAAGCGCAGGCUGCUUGGCCCCUGUAACUAUCUUGGCACGGAGUCAAAAGCUGAUAAGCAUUUGGGCGAGACAGCUCAACUGCUGUGCUGGAAGAAAAACAGCUGCCAUGAUUUCUGUUUGAUUGAGAGCGCUUACACACACGCACAAAAAACACAUCGGGCUGCAGAGAUGGGCCACGAAUGCCUGAGGAUUCAGCUUCAGAGGAGCAACUCACGUUUCCUUAAAAAAAAAAAGUUUUAUACAGUUUUCCCUCCAUUCCUCCUCCCCUUUUUAAAGAAAAUGUACUGCGUAGACUCGCUUCUCUCCUUCCCAUCCCCCUCCAUAACCUCAAGCAAACUCGAGGAAUUGUGCCAAAAGUCCCGUUGCUAGUUACCAAGUACGUUUUUUUAAACGUCCCUUUGAUACUUCUUCCCCUUGUGCCUGCCAUGGAAUAUGCAACUAAGAUAAUCAUUACUUACAAAAGGUAAUUAAAAAAUGAAAAGAGCUUCUAGCAAACUUUCCUUUUUCUACUUUUUUUCUCUGAAGGGGCAGAAGAAGGGAGGCGAGGGGGAGAAGAAUAUUUUUUCUCUUUGCAGAGUCCAACAUUUGGCUUUUUCCAUUUGUGGCAGAUCACUGUAACGCUAUUGUAAAACAACUUCCUGCCCCUUUUGGCUCCAGUUCCAGAAGCUGCUAGGCUAAGUUCAUAGCAGAAACUUUUUUCCCCCUUGCUGAAGAAGGAAGACAAAAAAAAAAAAAUUCUGCACAUUAUUUUCCUCCUUCUCCGGUAAUGGACUCACAAGGUGAAUUCAUUGCAGCUCUGUAAGAAUGUCACACAAGAGAGAGCGCUAUCCCAGCUGGAUAAUUCAUGAGCUGAAAGCGUUGUUUAUCGCAGUCUGAUCUUCCCGCCUUCCUUCUAAGCUGGAGCUCAGAUCCCCGUCCUCGCCGCGGUUUGUUUCGCUCUGCGGCCGCACUGAGCUCUCAAAGCCACCCUGUUAUCCAGCACGGCAACUCGCAGCACGCACGCCGCUGGCAUCCGCGGAGCAAUAGCCCGUUCUAGAGGGAGAAAGGAAUCAGGCACAUCUCUAAACGCUGCAGUCCCACAGAACGAGAUGGUACGUCCUCCAUCACUGCAUCACGGCUCGCUCUGGUGCAACACAUGCCCCCUGCUAAAGCUGUAGUUGCCAUUACAACGUGCCUUUUGCCUUCAAAGCUUUUUUUAUUUUCUUAUUUAACGACACCAAGGCUGCUCGAAGAACAGACCGCCCUGCACACACCGCUGGCGAAGUGCACCUGUCAGCCCGCAACCUGUCGCUGCUGCUCCUCCCCCCUCUGCGGCUCCAGCAACACCGCACUGACACAACUAGCCACCAAGCGCCGGGAUUUUAUUUCGUUUUCACCUAGCCAUCCGCUGCAUCAAAUAGACAGUCCAGAGAGCGGGAGAAAAAGUGCCAGAAAAAUAGCCUCAACAUACAAACACUCAGAGGGCGGGAGGGCGGGCGGCAAGCCGCUGCGCAGCCCGAACGUCACCUGCUGCCGUCAGCGCGCCCCGCGGCGGCCAUGUUGUGCGCGCCGCCCGCACCACGCGCUCCCCGGCCGCCCGCCGCGGAGCUGUGGCAGCUCAGGGCAAAGCCUACUGCCCAGGCCUUUCAUUUGUUUCAUUUGUGCCCCCAGGCCCCUGACGAGGCGGUCCAGCGGGCAGGUGGGCAGCAGGUAGCGCCGGGACUCGCUCUCUGCACAGGGCGAGGAGGGCGGGGCCAGUAACGCGGCGGGGUCGCUGGCAGGCUCGGCUCAUGAAUAAUUGCGAGCCGCUCUCCAUUUCCAUAUUUAAAUCGCGGAGCGGCGGGUGAUUAAUUAAGAAGAUUUAAAAAAAAAAAGAAAAAAAAAAGCCAGCCGGCUGCCCGCGUUAACCCCUUCCUCCCCAGCGGCGGUCCCACCACUGGCUGCCCGCGCUCGGCGUGAAUGCUAAUUGCGGCGCGUCUGUGCCGCGGGGCGGUCACGUGGGGCUCUGCGCAGCUCCGCGCAGUCUCCAGCUAUGGCAGGGACGGGUAGCGGAGCGCUAUCGUCGUUGUCUUUGCGUGGGGGAGAAAGCACCAUCAUCGACCUUAGUGUGAUUGACACUGGCGCAUACUGUGCAGUUUGAAGAUUUCAGAAUGACUGUGCAUCUACAGUGCAGCAGUGUAUGGGGCAGUAACUGGGCCUGGUUGUGUGUUGAAGAUGAGGAUGCUCAAGCCUUCACGGCAAUGAACUUUUUACUGGGGUGUGGAAGCUGCUCACAGAGAAAGAUGAGGAUUCUUCGUGUCCCUACAGCCCAAGCAAUCUGCCUGAAGCUGCCAACCUGAGAGGACACUGCAAGGUACAUUUAUCUCCCAAAGCUCAGGAGACUGAAGGUAUCAUGACACAAUGCAAACAUACACUAGUAUAUGAAUGCCACAGGACUACACACCUGAUUCCCUUUUCCAGGCUAAAGACUUACUCCUUCUGAUCUGUGAGGACUCAAGAUUUCACAAAGUGCAGCAUGUGUGUGGCUUUACUGAGAAAGACUACUAAAAUGGCAAAACAGAAUCUGUGUCCAUAUGAAGUAAGCUGCAGAAAGCAGCUUCCCCACUGCUCUCUUUCCAGACUUCAAAGGAGAUGCCUUGGCUGGUGCAAACACCCUAUAAUUCAACUGCAACACGAUUGUUUCAUGUCAGCUCUGAACUUUGGCUAUACAUGGGGAGGUAGGAGGCCAAUACCCUUUUGAGGGCAGCUUUCGUGUGAUCCAGUCAUCUUGCUUGAGAAAGACAAUUCCUGGGCUGAAGAUAUCACUAUGUUUAGUCAUUUGGUGUGGAAUAGCAGAAUAUGUGGUUAAGAAA